GCAAUGGGGGGGCGGUGGCAGGAACUGGCAUGGUGCCCCCCCAGUGGCGCCUAGGGCACGUGCCCUGCCUGCCCCCCCCUAGUUCCGCCUAUGUCCGUGGUGUUUACACAGACACAGGGGAGCAGGUGGUGCUCCAGCUGUCUGCAUUACUCAAAGACAUACCAUUGCGUGAGUUGUUAAAGAAUUAUGCUGCACUUCAGUAUGAAGAAACCUGAACUGCAUUACUGCACCCUAAUUGGCAGUACCAAUUGCCUCUACUCAAGAUAAAAAAAGAAUGGAAAGGAAGAUGAUUAGAAAUGCAGGAUAAAAGACAAACCACCAUUAGUUGUUGAAAGCUUCAAAUUCAUCAUAUGCUAUUUAUUUUUUUAUCUGUGUUGCAUGUUCUCAGUGUUAUAAUGUUCAGUUUAUUUUUCUAAGCAAUACAGUCAAUAACAUCUUAUCAUGCCUGGGAUAUAUCGAUAUUUGAUAUAUAUUUUAUUUAUUUAUUAAACUUCUAUACCGCCCAAACCUUUGUCUCCGGGCGGUUAUAUCAAUCUAUAGUGUAACUUUAUAGAGAAGAAUAAACUGGCAUACAUUA
Long non-coding RNA from Hemicordylus capensis (graceful crag lizard), 577 nucleotides. RefSeq lists it as uncharacterized. The record is from RefSeq and is a predicted model, not a curated record. The transcript is spliced from 3 exons. Lineage: Eukaryota; Metazoa; Chordata; Lepidosauria; Squamata; Cordylidae.